AGAAUCAACGCUGGCGGCGUGCCUAACACAUGCAAGUCGCACGAGAAAGUGGAGCAAUCCAUGAGUAAAGUGGCGCACGGGUGAGUAACACGUGAAUCAUCUACCUCCGAGUGGGGAAUAACCUAGAGAAAUCUGGGCUAAUACCGCAUAACACUUACGAGUCAAAGCAGCAAUGCGCUUGGAGAGGAGUUCGCGGCCGAUUAGCUAGUUGGCGGGGUAAUGGCCCACCAAGGCGAUGAUCGGUAUCCGGCCUGAGAGGGCGCACGGACACACUGGAACUGAAACACGGUCCAGACUCCUACGGGAGGCAGCAGUGGGGAAUUUUGCGCAAUGGGGAAACCCUGACGCAGCAACGCCGCGUGGAGGAUGAAAUCCCUUGGGAUGUAAACUCCUUUCGAUAGGGAAGAUAAUGACGGUACCUAUAGAAGAAGCCCGGCUAACUUCGUGCCAGCAGCCGCGGUAA
This 463-nucleotide ribosomal RNA is filed under the name uncultured bacterium. RNAcentral describes it as "SSU rRNA". It matches the Rfam family "Bacterial small subunit ribosomal RNA", at positions 26 to 523 of the family's 1533-position model. The record is from RNAcentral.